ACGAUUUUCUGCAGAAUUCAGGAAAUCCUCAAAAUUCUUCACUUUAACCAUUAAAGAGCUAGAGCCGACGGACUCGGCGAUGUAUUUCUGUGCUCUGUGGGAAGACACUGUGAGGCGUUUAAUAGGGAGCCCUGUACAAAAACCCACCCCCUGGGCUUUCUCACCAUGAAAAACACAACUGCAGAGUAGCAUCCCCAGGCCCAGACAGAUGGUUAAACCAGAUGAUGGGGCUGGUAUAAACCACACGACCUGACACUUUUGAAGCCCUCUGGGCCUAAUUCACCGUUGUGUUACCCCAGAUUAAUGUCAGUUUACCCACUCUGGGUCUGCUCCUCAGCUGCGGUGAAUCACUGUGUGGCAGAUGGAGUCAGCUGGGCCAGGUCCACCACAGGUCUCAGUCAGCUGUACUUCCACUGGGGCUGGAUUCCCCUAGCUGGAGUAAACCAGCAUGGGGCCAAUGGGACAGAUACACAAAGACACAACACACACAAGCAUGCAGACACACACGCACGUGCAAACACAAACAUAGAGACAAACAGAAAGACACCAACCCCCACAAAACCGGCACACACAACACAGAGCUUUUAAGACGUCCCACAAUGUAUUUAAUUCACUUCUCACCACGUAGCAACAAGAAGGACAAUAAAAAGGAAAAUGAAUCAGAAAAAACGACAGAAAGCCAGAAACCGACCUUCCAGGAAAUGCAGAGGAAGGAAUUUGUCCCACGAGUUCUCACCUGCGCUUCAGUUGCAGAACCCAGCCGGUUUCCUGUGUCUGUUACGCAUUUCCCGAAUCCCUCCCUCUUCUGCUAGGCCGGUCUCGCACUAACCUCUCCCAGUCCUUCCGAGAAGUUGCCUUUAAAUUCUUCUCGCAGCGACCUCUCAGCUUGUCCGGGCUCCAGCUGUCUGAGCACCAUGGAGACGCGUUUCAUUCUCCACCUUUGGAUCUUUAACCUACUAGGUGCGGUGCUGGGUGACUCGAUCCGGUCCAAUGAACCCGAGGUGUCCAGAUCACAAGGCGAUACCGUGACCCUCGGCUGUUCUUAUGAAAUUAGCUACACUGCUGGUGUCUAUCUCUACUGGUACCGCCAGUACCCGAACCGAGCCCCGCAGUACAUCCUCCUGAGAGGAGCAAAAGGAAGCACGUUCAGUGAUACUGCAGAUUUCGCCCAGGAGAGGUUUUCUUCGCAGGCGAACGACACCUCCACAGUUCUGAACAUCACAGCCCUGGAGCUGGCGGACACAGCGGUGUAUCUCUGCGCCCUGCAGCGGGCACAGUGA
Molecule: non-coding RNA, 1280 nt
Organism: Mauremys reevesii (Reeves's turtle)
Lineage: Eukaryota; Metazoa; Chordata; Testudines; Geoemydidae
Source: the annotation of a RefSeq genome assembly